RNAcentral lists this ribosomal RNA (427 nucleotides) under uncultured bacterium. RNAcentral describes it as "bacterial SSU rRNA". It matches the Rfam family "Bacterial small subunit ribosomal RNA", at positions 355 to 774 of the family's 1533-position model. The record is from RNAcentral.
UGAGGAAUAUUGGACAAUGGGCGCAAGCCUGAUCCAGCAAUGCCGCGUGCAGGAUGAAGGCCUUCGGGUUGUAAACUGCUUUUGUACGGAGCGAAAAGGUCUGCCCUAAUACGGUGGGCUCAUGACGGUACCGUAAGAAUAAGCACCGGCUAACUACGUGCCAGCAGCCGCGGUAAUACGUAGGGUGCGAGCGUUAAUCGGAAUUACUGGGCGUAAAGCGUGCGCAGGCGGUUAUAUAAGACAGAUGUGAAAUCCCCGGGCUCAACCUGGGACCUGCAUUUGUGACUGUAUAGCUAGAGUACGGUAGAGGGGGAUGGAAUUCAGGGUGUAGCAGUGAAAUGCGUAGAUAUGCGGAGGAACACCGAUGGCGAAGGCAAUCCCCUGGACCUGUACUGACGCUCAUGCACGAAAGCGUGGGGAGCAAACA